GGGUUCUACCGUCGGUCGGGCUAACAAGUCUGUACUGGUGUGUAGAAUUUCUACCUUCUGGGGAACUAUCAUGUUAUUAAUUUAGCGUGGUGGGAAACCAGGACCUUUACCUUGAAAAAAUUAGAGUGUUCAAAGCAGGCUUACGUCUGAAUACAUUAGCAUGGAAUAAUAGAAUAGGACGGUGGUCCUGUUUUGUUGGUUUCUGAAUCACCGUA
This 215-nucleotide ribosomal RNA is filed under the name uncultured Glomeromycotina. RNAcentral's name for it is "partial 18S ribosomal RNA". The stretch from base 39 to 215 matches the Rfam family "Eukaryotic small subunit ribosomal RNA", at positions 684 to 863 of the family's 1831-position model. Lineage: Eukaryota; Fungi; Glomeromycota. RNAcentral also lists the same sequence under 1 other name. The record is from RNAcentral.